GACGAACGCUGGCGGCGUGCCUAAUACAUGCAAGUAGAACGCUGAAGGAGGAGCUUGCUUCUCCGGAUGAGUUGCGAACGGGUGAGUAACGCGUAGGUAACCUGCCUGGUAGCGGGGGAUAACUAUUGGAAACGAUAGCUAAUACCGCAUAAGAGUAGAUGUCGCAUGACAUUUGCUUAAAAGGUGCAACUGCACCACUACCAGAUGGACCUGCGUUGUAUUAGCUAGUUGGUGAGGUAACGGCUCACCAAGGCAACGAUACAUAGCCGACCUGAGAGGGUGAUCGGCCACACUGGGACUGAGACACGGCCCAGACUCCUACGGGAGGCAGCAGUAGGGAAUCUUCGGCAAUAGACGGAAGUCUGACCGAGCAACGCCGCGUGAGUGAAGAAGGUUUUCGGAUCGUAAAGCUCUGUUGUAAGAGAAGAACGAGUGUGAGAGUGGAAAGUUCACACUGUGACGGUAUCUUACCAGAAAGGGACGGCUAACUACGUG
This 495-nucleotide ribosomal RNA is filed under the name uncultured bacterium. RNAcentral describes it as "partial 16S ribosomal RNA". It matches the Rfam family "Bacterial small subunit ribosomal RNA", at positions 28 to 507 of the family's 1533-position model. The record is from RNAcentral.